CAGUGUGGUUUGCCUUGGAUAUCUCGCUUGUGAGCAGUUUCAUCAAGACAAGGCAGUCAACACUCGGGCUACCCAUACCCAACCGUUUCAGAGAAUGGUUGCAGAACAACUUAUCGGUGUCAGAUUAUAGCACGCGUAUAAGGAAAUCAAAGCAAACAAGCGACAUUGCUGAACUUGACCCCUUUGGCUCGGUGCAGUGCAGAGUCAGCUUGCCCAAGACUUAGCUCCAGAAACACCGUGGAAAGUAAUAAACAACUCAAAGUCUAGUACAAGAAAGCGCCGUUUAGAUCAAUCAGACCGAUGUUAUUGCAUUGCAUCAGAAACUCCUCAAGACUUUGUUGUCGUUUCGUUAAUCUCAUGGUGUGAUUAUACUGUAGUUGUUUCCCGUGACAUAUUUUGGGAUUUUUUGGCAAGAUAAUCGUUACACUCAAAUGCGUUGAUUUAUGUUUUGGUUUAUUUCUUUCCUUCAUGUACAUGCGUUAUUUGUUGAUAUAGAGGAUUACUACCUAACAAUGAAUCAUAUCAUUAUUGAUGAUCGUCAUGUUUGAUUUAAUCCAUAUGUUUUCCCUAUAUUCCUAUGAUGUAAAUAAAUUAAUGAAAUUCAAUCUAAUAUGUAACCAUUUUAUAACCUUGAUGUAAAAAUGAUUGUAAAUCCGUAUUUGGAUUUUAUUCAUAUAACUUAAGUAUACAUUUAUAUGGAAAAUGAA
Molecule: long non-coding RNA, 707 nt
Organism: Mya arenaria
Lineage: Eukaryota; Metazoa; Mollusca; Bivalvia; Myida; Myidae
Exons: 4
Source: RefSeq, a predicted model, not a curated record